This 270-nucleotide unclassified non-coding RNA is filed under the name air metagenome. RNAcentral describes it as "partial contains small subunit ribosomal RNA, internal transcribed spacer 1, and 5.8S ribosomal RNA". The stretch from base 1 to 46 matches the Rfam family "Eukaryotic small subunit ribosomal RNA", at positions 1786 to 1831 of the family's 1831-position model. The record is from RNAcentral.
AAGUCGUAACAAGGUUUCCGUAGGUGAACCUGCGGAAGGAUCAUUACCAAUUCAACGGUGUGGUCGCGGCCCCCGGGGGCUCCCCCCUGGGCGGUAGAGGUAACACUCUCACGCGCCACAUGUCUGAAUCCUUUUUUUACGAGCACCUUUCGUUCUCCUUCGGUGGGGCAACCUGCCGUUGGAACUUAUCAAAACCUUUUUUGCAUCUAGCAUUACCUGUUCAGAUACAAACAAUCGUUACAACUUUCAACAAUGGAUCUCUUGGCUCUG